GCCCUGUGCUCCCAUCCCCCAGAAAAGAAACUCUAGGAAUUAUUCCAAGUGCUUCUGUCUAUAUUUAGGGCACUCUGCAGAGAGACUUUUUGAGCACUCUCAAGGGAUUUGCCAUGCCAGCUGCUAGGCCUUUGCUCGGGCAGGCCCUUCCGGUUUAUGCCCUCCCAACCCCCACCUCCCCUCACCCUUGCUUCCAACGUUCAUGGUGCCUCUUCCUCGCAAUCACGACUCUGGAGUCUUCUCCCUUACCAGAAGUCAGGUCACAAGUCCUGGACGAAAGGAACAGCAUUUCCCCACCAAUAUUCUAUGCUUGACAUCAGAGGGACGAGGGUGGGAUUUGCUGAGUCAACCACUCACCCCACUGCAGAAUCCAAGAGGUUUAAGAAAAUCUCCUUCCUGGAGUAGGAGGCGUGGAUGGUAGGGAUGGUGUCUGAUCAGGCUACUCUACAAGUUCACUUGCUUUGUACACCCCCCGUUCGAGGACUCUCUGCUUCACCUACCCCCAACUCACAGGAAUACCUUUGCCCUGGGGCCCCCGGUUAGGGAUUGACUGUUCUAAUCCUGAGGUCAGAAUGGCUCCACCUGCUAGUUUAUUAAAGGGAAACACCUGCCCUCAAAGUGAUUCAGAUAGUCGUGGUCCUUAACCUGAAGGGUGGCGAGGGACACGCCCUAGCUGCUGGUUUCCCUGGUAACUGAUAAGACCCACGGUGAUGUUAGUUAUUCUAUAAAUAGUAGCCUCCUCCUCCCCUUCUGCCACAUUCUGUCUAGGAUAGCCAGUCACUCCAGGACCUCCUGCUUAAGAUCUCCUGUCUAAUAAACCAUUGAUGUCUCUGUUGCUGUUUCCUGGCCCGUCUUUGCUUCUUUCAGGUUUGAACGGGUAUCAGGACUUCCCCGCAUGGCUCACUUCCUCCACCUCUGAAAUGAAACCAUCGGCAAAGCCAAGUGAUACGUCAUCUGCUAGCCAUGGAUCUAACUGCAUUUUUAUACUCCGGAGACCAAGCGUGGCCCCUCAACCAGCAGCAUUGGCACCACCUGGGAGAGAGCUUGUUGGAGAUGCAGACCCUAGGCACCACGCUCGGCCCACCAAGGUUCAGGCUGACGCCUCCCCAGUCCAGCCGUUCUGCACCAGUGGCAAACCAAGGAACGUCCUUCCACACCCCACGCCAAAGCCGUCUAUGUGCUGCUACUCCUUUCUUCGGGCCUUUAAGUCUCCUUGACGUGAUCUCGACCUAACUCCUGGCCUGAUUUGCAAGUCCUUUACCCACCUCCCAGAAAACAACCCCUCCCUCAGCCACCCUGGGAUUCCUCCCCCUGCAGGCUGCCCCCCACCCCCACUCCCACCCUGGUCCUGGAACUGCUCUUCCCUGGCCAGGACACAUCUGCUUGGCACUCUCUCUGCCCCUGAAGAGCUGCUUCAAACUGAUUUCUGGAAGCACUCCAGCACGCCCAAGUCUUGGUUAACAGUUUCCUAAAAAGCAUGAUGUCCAUAGUUAGACUCAAAUGCAAGAAGGGAAGUCCUCAGGAACCAGAAAUAAGAGGGGGCUCCGAGAAAAGGCAGGGGAGGAGGAAAGAAGAAGGGCACUCCGGGAGACGGGGUUUAUAGCUGGUUGUUAGAGGACUCUGAACUUUUCAGAUUAAAAAAAAAACUAAAUAAUAUAAAUUUUUUUAAGAUUUUUUAAAAAAACCUAAAGGCAAUGUGCUAACCUGGAUUGGGUCCUAGGACAGAAAAAGUAUAUCAGUGAAAAAACUUGUGAAAUUCAAAGUCUGGAAUGUGGUUAAUAGCAACGAACCCACAUUGAUCUCUUAGUUAUGGCAAAUGGGUGAUGGCCGUGAAUGAGCAGGGUGAGUUUGUUUCUUUAUGCUUUUCUCUGUUUUCCACCAUGUGCCUACAUUACAGUUGGCUGUCAUUUUCACGCAUGAAGAGAUAUUGAAGGGACUUCCCUGGUGGUCCAGUGGCUAAGACUCUGUGCUCCGAAUGGAGAGGGCCUGGGUUCAAUCCCUGGUCAGGGCACCAGACAAUGCUUGCCGCAACUAAAACUCCUUCACGCUGCAGUGAAGAUCACAGAUCUCACUUGCCACCACUAAGACUGUCAAUCCCAUUUGCAAGACAAAAUCAAACAAGCUCUGAAGGCUGCAAGAUUUUUUUACAUUUUGUCAGCAAACGUGACCGCUUGGAUGGAAGGCUGUUAAUAAUAUUAACACAGUACUUAUCUUGCUUCAUGUGAUCAUUCAUAUGCCGAGAAAUAUCAGUGGGCUUGACUGCAGGGCAUCACCGUGAUCCCACGGGCGUGUCCUGUAACGUACCUAGUGUGCACGCACCCUGUACUACCUUCUAAAAUCCACAGAAUUCUGGAUUUGGAAAGCCAUGUGGCCCUGAUAGAGACGGGCAGUGGUUUGGGGAUCUGUGUUACAAACACCCCUGCCCUUCCACUCAGCUUAAGAAAUCUAAUAUUACUAAAACUGUCAACUCCCCUCCCACCCCCUGCCAGGGGUACCCCAUCCAUAACUUGCACGAUUUUGAUGAUCAAGAGGACAGCCAUGUUUUAGAAACACAACCAGUCACAGCAGGGGCAGUGAGAAGAACUUGGAGGUUUCAGAGGCCCAUCUGUGUGGGUGGAAUUCCCACCCUCCAGCCUCCCCGCCUCCCUCUACCUCUACGCACCCACCUCAACUUUCCUGAAGUGAAAGCCACAAAAAGUUGCCUGCCUGGGUGUCGGGAGGGGACUUAUACAAUCAUGGUGGAACCAUGAUACUCUUCCUCUCAUAGGAGAGCUUGAGCAUCUGGAGGCUGAAGACAGCUACCUGGGCCGGUUUGACAGGACAUUGUGGGAAAGUAGAGGGAGACUCAGAGGGGGUCCCAUGGCCUGGAUGGGGGCCCAUCAGAACCACUGUGGUCAUCUGCCUCUGGAGAUGGAAGGGCCAAAGCUGACCCAGCGUUCCCAGGCUGAGAAAAAAGGAAGCUGCUGAGCAAUGCCUGGGGCCCAGGUCACCCCAUGGCUAAUUUGCCAAUGAUGUGGGCACCCUCUUACUCUCUUUGGCCCUUGGUUUUCUCGCCUGUGUGAUAGGGAAGUAAUCCCUUGCCUUGUCCGCCUCUCUCAUCUAGGAAAAGGCCUCCUGAGCCUCGCCUUCUUCAUCUGUAAAAUGGGGAUGAUAAUAUUGGCUACCUCCAAGGGUUGUGGCAAAGAUUAAAUGAGGAAAUCCACAUAAAGAGAAGGAAUUGCGCUUGGUUACUCUCCAAAAGAUGCUGCCAUUGCUUUUGUCUAACAAUAUUCAUGACGUGGUGACCAUGCUUCAUUCCUGGGAGAAGAGGUGGGGGACAGUGCAGAGCUCAAUACACUUGGUUUCUACCUUCAAGAGGCUCAAGGUUUCUCAGAUAAUCCCAGACCUAAAUGUAAAAUGGCCCCUGAGGAGUGUCUUAAACGACAGAUGCACCAGGCUGUGGUUUGGGAGUCUUAGAGAGAAAACCUCACCUAGUUAGGGUGUGGGGAGGCCCUCCCCGAGGAGAAGGAAAAUCAGAUGGAGCAAGGAAGAGGGAGAGGACUUCUGGACUGGGGGAACAGCAUGUGCAAAAGCCCUGUGGUGGGAACAGGGCCAAGGCACGGGAUGGGUAGGUGGCCAGGGACUGGGAUGUCUGGGCUCAGGGAGAUCUCUCCCCAUCAAAAAAUUGAACCAAUAGGUACUUUUUUUUUAAGUGGCUCAGACAGUAAAGAAUCCACCUGCAAUGCAGGAGACCUGGAUUCAAUCCCUGAGUUGGGAAGAUCACCUGGAGGAGGACAUGGCAACCCACUCCAGGAUUCUUGCCUAGAGAAUUCCAUGGACAGAGGAGCCUGGCGGGCUACAGUCCAUGGGGUCGCAAAGAGUUGGACAUGACUGAGUGAUAAGCAUAGCACAUAAAGUCUCUGUUGAAUUUGUCAGGCUUCCAUGGAGGCACAGCGGUAAAGAACUAGCUUGCAAUGCAGGAGACACUGGUUUGAUCCCUGGGUCAGGAAGAUCCCCUGGAGGAGGGCAAGGCAACACACUAGUAUUCUUGCCUGGAGAAUCCCAUGGACAGAGGAGUCUGGUGGGCUACAGUCCAUGGGGUUGCAAAGAGCGACUUAGUGACCAAGAAACAAUUGAAUUUGUUACAAUAUUGCUUCUGUUUUGUAUGGUGUUGUUUUUUUUUUUCCCCAGGAGGAAUGUGGGAUCUUAGUUCCCUGACCUCUUUAUCUUUAGUAUCUGUGAUUAUCCCUUUCUUUUGUUUGAACGCAGCUGUAUAUUAAAUAAAACCAUGGAACCUGUGCCCCUUUACUGGAAGGUGAUGUCUUAACCACUGGACCACCAGGGAAAUCCCAAACCAAUAGGCACCUUGCAACAAAAGGUUUUAUUUAAUACACAGCUGAGCUC
Bos taurus (domestic cattle) is the source of this 4383-nucleotide long non-coding RNA. NCBI's taxonomy places the organism in Eukaryota, Metazoa, Chordata, Mammalia, Artiodactyla, Bovidae. The record is from Ensembl.